UCUUCAAACUGUUCGUCGCAGAUUUCGAUUCUUUUAUAGAAGACUGGCUUACACGUUGCCGCUUUUCUGCAGGUUUCAAUAUCUAAAACAUAGUAUUAAUAAAAGAAUGCCAAUCGUUAAAUGGAAUACUCACCUGAAAGCUACAAAGCAAAUCCUCAUUAACACUCAUCAUGGCUCCCACAUUAUCAAAUUCACCACAAUAGUUGGGAGCGCUGAAAAUAGUAACCAGUUGACGUUUGCCAAAAAACUCGUAACCAUCUUCGACGACUUGGUGAGCUCGACAAAUUAAAUCCAAGUCGUGCUUUUGCAAAAACCGGCUCACCACAUCGGCACCGAAUGUAUAAGAUACACCGCGAUCGUUCUCACCCCAUCCCGUCAAGUCCUUUUCAGGGUCGGACCAAACUAAAUCACAAAGCAGUCCUGUGUCGGGAAUGUCGGUUGGACGAAUGAUACGCUGAAUCUGAUCCAGAGAA
Molecule: non-coding RNA, 473 nt
Organism: Schizosaccharomyces pombe (fission yeast)
Lineage: Eukaryota; Fungi; Ascomycota; Schizosaccharomycetes; Schizosaccharomycetales; Schizosaccharomycetaceae
Source: the annotation of a GenBank genome assembly